GGUUAAGCGACUAAGCGUACACGGUGGAUGCCCUGGCAGUCAGAGGCGAUGAAGGGCGUGCUAAUCUGCGAUAAGCGCCGGUAAGGUGAUAUGAACCGUUAUAACCGGCGAUACCCGAAUGGGGAAACCCAGUGUGACUCGUCACACUAUCAUUAACUGAAUCCAUAGGUUAAUGAGGCGAACCGGGGGAACUGAAACAUCUAAGUACCCCGAGGAAAAGAAAUCAACCGAGAUUCCCCCAGUAGCGGCGAGCGAACGGGGAGGAGCCCAGAGCCUGAAUCAGCAUGUGUGUUAGUGGAAGCGUCUGGAAAGGCGCGCGAUACAGGGUGACAGCCCCGUACACAAAAGCGCAUGUGCUGUGAGCUCGAUGAGUAGGGCGGGACACGUGGUAUCCUGUCUGAAUAUGGGGGGACCAUCCUCCAAGGCUAAAUACUCCUGACUGACCGAUAGUGAACCAGUACCGUGAGGGAAAGGCGAAAAGAACCCCGGCGAGGGGAGUGAAAAAGAACCUGAAACCGUGUACGUACAAGCAGUGGGAGCACCCUUCGGGGUGUGACUGCGUACCUUUUGUAUAAUGGGUCAGCGACUUAUAUUCUGUAGCAAGGUUAACCGAAUAGGGGAGCCGGAGGGAAACCGAGUCUUAACCGGGCGUUAAGUUGCAGGGUAUAGACCCGAAACCCGGUGAUCUAGCCAUGGGCAGGUUGAAGGUUGGGUAACACUAACUGGAGGACCGAACCGACUAAUGUUGAAAAAUUAGCGGAUGACCUGUGGCUGGGGGUGAAAGGCCAAUCAAACCGGGAGAUAGCUGGUUCUCCCCGAAAGCUAUUUAGGUAGCGCCUCGUGAAUUCAUCUCCGGGGGUAGAGCACUGUUUCGGCUAGGGGGCCAUCCCGGCUUACCAACCCGAUGCAAACUGCGAAUACCGGAGAAUGUUAUCACGGGAGACACACGGCGGGUGCUAACGUCCGUCGUGAAGAGGGAAACAACCCAGACCGCCAGCUAAGGUCCCAAAGUCAUGGUUAAGUGGGAAACGAUGUGGGAAGGCCCAGACAGCCAGGAUGUUGGCUUAGAAGCAGCCAUCAUUUAAAGAAAGCGUAAUAGCUCACUGGUCGAGUCGGCCUGCGCGGAAGAUGUAACGGGGCUAAACCAUGCACCGAAGCUGCGGCAGCGAACGUAUCACUUAAAGCGAUUCAGCGGGUUACGAUUGACGGAGCGAAGCGACGUCAAAGCGUAUACAAAGUCGAGUCGGUUUAAGGAUACGUUCGUUGGGUAGGGGAGCGUUCUGUAAGCCUGUGAAGGUGGCCUGUGAGGGUUGCUGGAGGUAUCAGAAGUGCGAAUGCUGACAUAAGUAACGAUAAAGCGGGUGAAAAGCCCGCUCGCCGGAAGACCAAGGGUUCCUGUCCAACGUUAAUCGGGGCAGGGUGAGUCGACCCCUAAGGCGAGGCCGAAAGGCGUAGUCGAUGGGAAACGGGUUAAUAUUCCCGUACUUGGUGUUACUGCGAAGGGGGGACGGAGAAGGCUAUGUUGGCCGGGCGACGGUUGUCCCGGUUUAAGCGUGUAGGUGUGUGUUCCAGGUAAAUCCGGUUCACUUUAACACUGAGGCGUGAUGACGAGGCACUACGGUGCUGAAGCAACAAAUGCCCUGCUUCCAGGAAAAGCCUCUAAGCAUCAGGUAACAUCAAAUCGUACCCCAAACCGACACAGGUGGUCAGGUAGAGAAUACCAAGGCGCUUGAGAGAACUCGGGUGAAGGAACUAGGCAAAAUGGUGCCGUAACUUCGGGAGAAGGCACGCUGACACGUAGGUGAAGUGAUUUACUCAUGGAGCUGAAGUCAGUCGAAGAUACCAGCUGGCUGCAACUGUUUAUUAAAAACACAGCACUGUGCAAACACGAAAGUGGACGUAUACGGUGUGACGCCUGCCCGGUGCCGGAAGGUUAAUUGAUGGGGUCAGCGCAAGCGAAGCUCCUGAUCGAAGCCCCGGUAAACGGCGGCCGUAACUAUAACGGUCCUAAGGUAGCGAAAUUCCUUGUCGGGUAAGUUCCGACCUGCACGAAUGGCGUAAUGAUGGCCAGGCUGUCUCCACCCGAGACUCAGUGAAAUUGAACUCGCUGUGAAGAUGCAGUGUACCCGCGGCAAGACGGAAAGACCCCGUGAACCUUUACUAUAGCUUGACACUGAACAUUGAGCCUUGAUGUGUAGGAUAGGUGGGAGGCUUUGAAGCGUGGACGCCAGUCUGCGUGGAGCCGACCUUGAAAUACCACCCUUUAAUGUUUGAUGUUCUAACGUGGACCCGUGAUCCGGGUUGCGGACAGUGUCUGGUGGGUAGUUUGACUGGGGCGGUCUCCUCCUAAAGAGUAACGGAGGAGCACGAAGGUUGGCUAAUCCUGGUCGGACAUCAGGAGGUUAGUGCAAUGGCAUAAGCCAGCUUGACUGCGAGCGUGACGGCGCGAGCAGGUGCGAAAGCAGGUCAUAGUGAUCCGGUGGUUCUGAAUGGAAGGGCCAUCGCUCAACGGAUAAAAGGUACUCCGGGGAUAACAGGCUGAUACCGCCCAAGAGUUCAUAUCGACGGCGGUGUUUGGCACCUCGAUGUCGGCUCAUCACAUCCUGGGGCUGAAGUAGGUCCCAAGGGUAUGGCUGUUCGCCAUUUAAAGUGGUACGCGAGCUGGGUUUAGAACGUCGUGAGACAGUUCGGUCCCUAUCUGCCGUGGGCGCUGGAGAACUGAGGGGGGCUGCUCCUAGUACGAGAGGACCGGAGUGGACGCAUCACUGGUGUUCGGGUUGUCAUGCCAAUGGCACUGCCCGGUAGCUAAAUGCGGAAGAGAUAAGUGCUGAAAGCAUCUAAGCACGAAACUUGCCCCGAGAUGAGUUCUCCCUGAGACUUAGAGUCUCCUGAAGGAACGUUGAAGACGACGACGUUGAUAGGCCGGGUGUGUAAGCGCAGCGAUGCGUUGAGCUAACCGGUACUAAUGAACCGUGAGGCUUAACCUU
Molecule: ribosomal RNA, 2987 nt
Filed under: Salmonella enterica
Lineage: Bacteria; Pseudomonadati; Pseudomonadota; Gammaproteobacteria; Enterobacterales; Enterobacteriaceae
Description: 23S ribosomal RNA
Rfam family: Bacterial large subunit ribosomal RNA
Source: RNAcentral